AUCAACUUUCGACGGUAGGAUAGAGGCCUACCAUGGUGGUAACGGGUAACGGGGUGUUAGGGCACGACACCGGAGAGGGAGCCUGAGAAACGGCUACCACAUCCAAGGAUGGCAGCAGGCGCGCAAAUUACCCAAUCCCGACACGGGGAGGUAGUGACAAUAAAUAACAAUACGGGGUUCUUUAGGAUCUCGUAAUUGGAAUGAGUACAAUUUAAAUCUCUUAACGAGGAACAAUUGGAGGGCAAGUCUGGUGCCAGCAGCCGCGGUAAUUCCAGCUCCAAUAGCGUAUAUUAAAGUUGUUGCAGUUAAAAAGCUCGUAGUUGAAUUUCGGGGUUAGUAGGUUGGUCAUGCCUCUGGUAUGUACUGGUCUCACUGAUUCCUCCUUCCUGAUGAGCCGUAAUGCCAUUAAUUUGGUGUUGCGGGGAAUUUGGACUGUUACUUUGAAAAAAUUAGAGUGUUUAAAGCAAGCUAACGCUUGAAUACAUUAGCAUGGAAUAAUGAAAUAGGACGUUCGAUCCUAUUUUGUUGGUUUCUAGGAUUGACGUAAUGAUUAAUAGGGAUAGUUGGGGGCAUUAGUAUUCAAUUGUCAGAGGUGAAAUUCUUGGAUUUAUUGAAGACUAACUACUGCGAAAGCAUUUGCCAAGGAUGUUUUCAUUAAUCAAGAACGAAAGUUAGGGGAUCGAAGACGAUCAGAUACCGUCGUAGUCUUAACCAUAAACUAUGCCGACUAGGGAUCGGAUGAUGUUAAUUUUUUAAUGACUCAUUCGGCGCCUUACGGGAAACCAAAGUGUUUGGGUNC
Molecule: ribosomal RNA, 799 nt
Filed under: uncultured Glomus
Lineage: Eukaryota; Fungi; Glomeromycota; Glomeromycetes; Glomerales; Glomeraceae
Description: SSU rRNA
Rfam family: Eukaryotic small subunit ribosomal RNA
Source: RNAcentral